GAUGAACGCUGGCGGCGUGCUUAAUACAUGCAAGUCGAGCGAACGGACGAGAAGCUUGCUGUUCUGAUUUUAGCGGCGGACGGGUGAGUAACACGUGGAAAACCUACCUAUAAGAGUGGGAUAACUUCGGGACACGGGAGCUAAUACCGGAUAAUCUUUUUCACCGCAUGGUUCAAGAGUGAAAGACGGUUUUGCUGUGACUUAUAGAUGGAUUCGCGCUGCAUUAGCUAGUUGGUAAGGUAACGGCUUACCAAGGCAACGAUGCAUAGCCGACCUGAGAGAGGGAUAGGCCACACGGGAGGGGAGACGCGGUCCAGGCGCUUGCGGGAGGGAGCAGUAGCGAACGGUCCGCAAUGGGCGAGAGCCUGACGGAGCAACGCCGCGCGAGUGAUGGAGGUCUUCGGAGAGGAAAACUCGGUUAUGAGGGAAAAACAUCUGUCUAAGGAGCCGUGCACAUCGUGACGGUACCUAAUGAGAAAGCCACGGCUAACUACGUG
This 497-nucleotide ribosomal RNA is filed under the name uncultured bacterium. RNAcentral describes it as "partial 16S ribosomal RNA". It matches the Rfam family "Bacterial small subunit ribosomal RNA", at positions 28 to 507 of the family's 1533-position model. The record is from RNAcentral.